Numida meleagris (helmeted guineafowl) is the source of this 327-nucleotide long non-coding RNA. RefSeq lists it as uncharacterized. NCBI's taxonomy places the organism in Eukaryota, Metazoa, Chordata, Aves, Galliformes, Numididae. The transcript has 2 exons. The record is from RefSeq and is a predicted model, not a curated record.
GCUGCCACAGAAGGUCAAGCACAACCUCCUCCUGGUGAACCCAUGCUGACUACUCCUGAUAUACAUAUAUACAUAUAUGUUGCAUGUGACUAGCAGAGCUUAUUCAAAUCAGCUAGUACUAAAACAGUCCUUCAGAGGCUGGGGUGAAAGAGUUUGCUUCUAUCAGGUGAAGAAAAAACUACAGAGAAUAAUCCAUGGAAAACAAGAGAAACCAGAGAUGUGUUUCCUCUGUGAAGUAAACCUUGAAGGAAUGACCUAACCUCUUCUCUGACAGUUUCACCUAUCAGUUCCUGCUAUGGAACAAGAAUAAAUGCAAAGGUUACAGUA